This 1664-nucleotide ribosomal RNA is filed under the name uncultured Clostridiaceae bacterium. Its description in RNAcentral is "bacterial SSU rRNA". The stretch from base 346 to 1664 matches the Rfam family "Bacterial small subunit ribosomal RNA", at positions 1 to 1379 of the family's 1533-position model. The record is from RNAcentral. Lineage: Bacteria; Bacillati; Bacillota; Clostridia; Eubacteriales; Clostridiaceae.
GAACGGGGGUACGCAAAGCACAGAGAGCAGUAGAAUAGUAGCUAGUCAUUAGUUAUUAGUAGUUAGUAGAGGGGAACGGAAGAGGUUGUCUGCUAAUUACUCAAAACUAUAUUCCGGCUAUGAAUGAAUUAGUAACCAGGUAUUCUUAUACAAGUGAAAAAGCAAUAGUUAGCUGUGUAUAAGAUACUGGUAAUUAGUAGCUAGUAGAGGAAAGGAAAAGCGAAGUGAAGCCAAAGCCAAAGCCAAAGCUGAAGCCAAAGCCAAAGCCAAAGCCAAAGCCAAAGCCAAAGCCAAAGCUGAAGCCAAAGCCAAAGCUGAAGCUGAAGCUGAAGCGUAUAUCUACUAAUAACUAACAACUAUAUUCUAACUACUACUUUGUGUGCUUUGCGUAGCCUAGUGGCGAACGGGUGAGUAACGCGUGAGCAAUCUGCCUUUUUGAGGGGGAUAACGUCGGGAAACUGACGCUAAUACCGCAUAAAGCAGUUGGAGGACAUCCUUCGAUUGCCAAAGGAGCAAUCCGCAGAAAGAUGAGCUCGCGUCUGAUUAGCUAGUUGGUGAGGUAAUGGCUCACCAAGGCGACGAUCAGUAGCCGGACUGAGAGGUCGAACGGCCACAUUGGGACUGAGACACGGCCCAGACUCCUACGGGAGGCAGCAGUGGGGAAUAUUGCGCAAUGGGGGAAACCCUGACGCAGCAACGCCGCGUGAAGGAAGAAGGCCUUCGGGUUGUAAACUUUUGUCUUCAGGGAAGAAACAAAUGACGGUACCUGAAAAGGAAGCCUCGGCUAACUACGUGCCAGCAGCCGCGGUAAUACGUAGGUGGCAAGCGUUGUCCGGGAUUACUGGGUGUAAAGGGUGCGUAGGCGGGUGAUCAAGUCAGGUGUGAAAUGCCGCAGCUUAACUGCGGAGCUGCACUUGAAACUGAACAUCUUGAGUGGAGUAGAGGCAAGCGGAAUUCCCAGUGUAGCGGUGAAAUGCGUAGAUAUUGGGAGGAACACCAGUGGCGAAGGCGGCUUGCUGGGCUCUAACUGACGCUGAGGCACGAAAGUGUGGGGAGCAAACAGGAUUAGAUACCCUGGUAGUCCACACUGUAAACGAUGGAUACUAGGUGUGGGGGGUAUUGACCCCCUCCGUGCCGGAGUUAACACAAUAAGUAUCCCACCUGGGGAGUACGGCCGCAAGGUUGAAACUCAAAGGAAUUGACGGGGGCCCGCACAAGCAGUGGAGUAUGUGGUUUAAUUCGAAGCAACGCGAAGAACCUUACCAAAUCUUGACAUCCAUCUAACGAAGUGGAAACACAUCAGGUGCCCUUCGGGGAAAGAUGAGACAGGUGGUGCAUGGUUGUCGUCAGCUCGUGUCGUGAGAUGUUGGGUUAAGUCCCGCAACGAGCGCAACCCUUAUGUUUAGUUGCUACGCAAGAGCACUCUAGACAGACUGCCGUUGACAAAACGGAGGAAGGUGGGGACGACGUCAAAUCAUCAUGCCCCUUAUGAUUUGGGCUACACACGUACUACAAUGGCGUUUAACAGAGGGAAGCAAAGCCGCGAGGCAGAGCAAAUCCCCAAAAGGCGUCUCAGUUCAGAUUGCAGGCUGCAACUCGCCUGCAUGAAGUCGGAAUUGCUAGUAAUCGCAGAUCAGCAUGCUGCGGUGAAUACGUUCCCGGGC